CGAUCCAGCCAUGCCGCGUGUGUGAAGAAGGCCUUCGGGUUGUAAAGCACUUUUGUACGGGAAGAAAAGCUUUCGGUUAAUACCCGGAAGUCCUGACGGUACCGUAAGAAUAAGCACCGGCUAACUUCGUGCCAGCAGCCGCGGUAAUACGAAGGGUGCAAGCGUUACUCGGAAUUACUGGGCGUAAAGCGUGCGUAGGUGGUUUGUUAAGUCUGAUGUGAAAGCCCUGGGCUCAACCUGGGAAUGGCAUUGGAUACUGGCAGUCUAGAGUGCGGUAGAGGGUAGCGGAAUUCCCGGUGUAGCAGUGAAAUGCGUAGAUAUCGGGAGGAACAUCCGUGGCGAAGGCGGCUACCUGGACCAGCACUGACACUGAGGCACGAAAGCGUGGGGAGCAAACAGGAUUAGAUACCCUGGUAGUCCACGCCCUAAACGAUGCGAACUGGAUGUUGGGGACACUUAGGUCCUCAGUAUCGAAGCUAACGCGUUAAGUUCGCCGCCUGGGAAGUACGGUCGCAAGACUG
RNAcentral lists this ribosomal RNA (521 nucleotides) under uncultured Pseudomonadota bacterium. Its description in RNAcentral is "bacterial SSU rRNA". It matches the Rfam family "Bacterial small subunit ribosomal RNA", at positions 384 to 896 of the family's 1533-position model. The record is from RNAcentral. Lineage: Bacteria; Pseudomonadati; Pseudomonadota.